This is a long non-coding RNA of Monopterus albus (swamp eel), 1412 nucleotides long. RefSeq lists it as uncharacterized. NCBI's taxonomy places the organism in Eukaryota, Metazoa, Chordata, Actinopteri, Synbranchiformes, Synbranchidae. The transcript is spliced from 6 exons. The record is from RefSeq and is a predicted model, not a curated record.
ACAGUGUUUCCAUGCUGAGUGUCGGAGGGUACUUCCUGGCAGUUGCUGAGGCCUACACAUGUCCAGUGAUUGAAGCCUCAUAUUAGCUUCUGCUGAACUAGGACCUUGAUAUUUCUUACAUUACGGUCACAUUAUUAAGUGCUAGGGUGUAGCUACUGAUCCUACACUACAGCAGAGAGAGUGAGAGUUGGAGGGAGGAGGGACAUCAGGUGUCAGCUCUGCAACCUCAGCUGAGGCUGCAUUACAGCCAGCUCCAGGGGCACUGCCAGCUCUCUGCCUCGCCGGCCCAGCACCCAGCCAGCCACUCAGCCAGCCAUCCAGCACUUUACCCAUCCAUCCGCCCAGGUAGCCAGCAAGGCCGGCCCUGCCCAGAACUGCCAACCUGCAGGAGUCAUCAGGGCUCCGUACACAAGGGCAAAUAGGAUGUUUAGAUGACUGGAAGAGUCAGACUUUCUAAGAGAGGUAUUUCUCAGUGCACAGCAACACAUGGGGAGACAAGUGUGAGAGGAGGAACAACUACUGCGUAUCUACAGUGCAUUGCAUGCCAAGCACAGAGAUUGCCACAGAUGUAGCAAAGAUUAGGAGCACGAGGAAGAAGGAGUGACUCUGUACCCCCGGGAAGGACGUAAUGAGGUGGAACCACUUCUCUGGUUCCCACUGGAAAGCCACUUCCACCAUCAGAUCGCCAUCUGCUGGCUCGGUGGGGCGGGACAGCUGGUGUUGUGAAUCAGGCCGCCACAGUGCAGGGACCGGCUACUUCCCAACACCAGGGUCUCACCAUCUCCUCUCACAUCUCACUAUGCUUUCACCUGUGGCUUGAUAUAAAAACGGUCUUCUGUUUAUCAUGAUUAAGUAUACUACGAUUUAUUCUGGCCAGUUGUGUCCAAUAUGAAAUAAGAUUCAGCAGUGUAAGAUAAAUUAUUCUGACAAAAUUUUGAACAAUAUAUCACAUCCCAUUUAAAACAUACAGUAAGGAUAAUUAAGAUUACAACAAUUAUUCAGACUUUUUGAGAAAUCGCUAAAAAGAGAAAACCUGGAAAUGAAAUGAAGUUCUUAAGGUGCAGUUUGAAAAUGUUUGGAUUCAUUGUAUUUUGUUAAAAACUUGUACUUUUAUUUGCCCAUCACAGAUUGUGUUUGAACUACUAAUGUCUGUACAUUGUAACAUCUGUGUGUCAUUUACAGACAGGAAUCUGUUGUCAUCCAGUUUACAGAGGAAACCCACAGAGCUUUAUUUUUGUUUUGUUUUUUUUCUGGUCUAUGGCAAGGAUUAAAAACAUUUCUUCCACGUAUUUCCUUAAAUUACAUUAAAAAAUACAAUAAAGUACCAUCAUUUUCAUUACAGCCAGAAGUCAUGGUUUGAUUCACAGGCAGAGGAGACUGGAAGGUGAGGGAAGACAGAUUUUUGUUUCUUU